AUUGGGACUGAGACACGGCCCAGACUCCUACGCGAGCCACCAGUGGGGAAAAUUGGCCAAUGGGGGAAACCCUGCCCCACCAACCCCGCGUGAAGGAAAAAGUUUUUGGGAUUGAAAACUUCUUUGUUCGGGGAGGAAGAAAUGACCGUACCUGAAGAACAAGUCACCGGCUAACUACGUGCCAGCAGCCGCGGUUAAAACGUCUACUG
RNAcentral lists this ribosomal RNA (209 nucleotides) under uncultured bacterium. RNAcentral describes it as "partial 16S ribosomal RNA". It matches the Rfam family "Bacterial small subunit ribosomal RNA", at positions 312 to 533 of the family's 1533-position model. The record is from RNAcentral.